This 936-nucleotide ribosomal RNA is filed under the name uncultured Alteromonas sp. RNAcentral's name for it is "bacterial SSU rRNA". It matches the Rfam family "Bacterial small subunit ribosomal RNA", at positions 138 to 1074 of the family's 1533-position model. Lineage: Bacteria; Pseudomonadati; Pseudomonadota; Gammaproteobacteria; Alteromonadales; Alteromonadaceae. The record is from RNAcentral.
GGGGGAUAACAGUUGGAAACGACUGCUAAUACCGCAUAAUGUCUACGGACCAAACGGGGCUUUUAGCUCCGGCGCAAAGAGAGGCCCAAGUGAGAUUAGCUAGUUGGUGAGGUAAAGGCUCACCAAGGCGACGAUCUCUAGCUGUUCUGAGAGGAAGAUCAGCCACACUGGGACUGAGACACGGCCCAGACUCCUACGGGAGGCAGCAGUGGGGAAUAUUGCACAAUGGGGGAAACCCUGAUGCAGCCAUGCCGCGUGUGUGAAGAAGGCCUUCGGGUUGUAAAGCACUUUCAGUUGUGAGGAAAGGUUGGUAGUUAAUACCUGCCAGCUGUGACGUUAACAACAGAAGAAGCACCGGCUAACUCCGUGCCAGCAGCCGCGGUAAUACGGAGGGUGCGAGCGUUAAUCGGAAUUACUGGGCGUAAAGCGCACGCAGGCGGUUUGUUAAGCUAGAUGUGAAAGCCCCGGGCUCAACCCGGGAUGGUCAUUUAGAACUGGCAGACUAGAGUCUUGGAGAGGGGAGUGGAAUUCCAGGUGUAGCGGUGAAAUGCGUAGAUAUCUGGAGGAACAUCAGUGGCGAAGGCGACUCCCUGGCCAAAGACUGACGCUCAUGUGCGAAAGUGUGGGUAGCGAACAGGAUUAGAUACCCUGGUAGUCCACACCGUAAACGCUGUCUACUAGCUGUGUGUGCCUUUAAGGCGUGCGUAGCGAAGCUAACGCGCUAAGUAGACCGCCUGGGGAGUACGGCCGCAAGGUUAAAACUCAAAUGAAUUGACGGGGGCCCGCACAAGCGGUGGAGCAUGUGGUUUAAUUCGAUGCAACGCGAAGAACCUUACCUACACUUGACAUGCAGAGAACUUUCCAGAGAUGGAUUGGUGCCUUCGGGAACUCUGACACAGGUGCUGCAUGGCUGUCGUCAGCUCGUGUCGUGAGAUG